AUGCACCAGCAAUGCAGUCGUCUAAUCCCUUUUGCUUCUUCAUGCAGUUCGUGGCGCUUCUUUGUGCGGGCCCGUGUGCGUCACUCUCAAGGCCCAUGCCGGCGAUAACGUUCGCGCUCCAGCGAGCCUUGUGCUAUUGGACUUUGGCUUCGGCAAAACAAUCAAACUCGGCAGGAAUUUGGACGCAGAUGUGAACGACAUUUUGCAGCUUUGGAAAGUUGGUCUGUCACCAGCCGAGUCCCCCUUCUGUGGUGCAACGUCUUUGUGCUACAUUAUGUCUUUACACGUAUGCGACAGAGUCGGAUCAAAUGAGAUGGCUACAGUUGAGCCUGCAGCGUACCGAGGCCAGCCACCAGCCCAGCUCAACUUUGGCAGUGCCAGACCUUUGGGCUUAGACUUCCCCAGAUUAAUGGGACCAACUAGUCGGAUCCAAUAAGGAAUGGCCACAGCUCAGCCAACUACUUGCGACCUUAUUCCUUCCAUAGAUUUGUUCGCCGACACACAGUAUCCCCGUUUUUGUUGACGUGUAAUUCUCAAAACCUAUGGCGGCGAAAUACCGUACAGUUGGUUUUGUGUCAUGCCUGCCUUUUUUCAGCAUUACAGAGCAGGAGCGACGUAACUAAACAAUGCUCCUUGAUCAUAUUCAGUUGUGUCUUGCUCGAUUUGUGUGGGAUUGUUUCGACGUAAUGUUUA
Long non-coding RNA from Ixodes scapularis (black-legged tick), 693 nucleotides. RefSeq lists it as uncharacterized. The record is from RefSeq and is a predicted model, not a curated record. NCBI's taxonomy places the organism in Eukaryota, Metazoa, Arthropoda, Arachnida, Ixodida, Ixodidae. The transcript is spliced from 3 exons.